RNAcentral lists this ribosomal RNA (496 nucleotides) under uncultured Spirochaeta sp. Its description in RNAcentral is "bacterial SSU rRNA". It matches the Rfam family "Bacterial small subunit ribosomal RNA", at positions 903 to 1382 of the family's 1533-position model. The record is from RNAcentral. Lineage: Bacteria; Pseudomonadati; Spirochaetota; Spirochaetia; Spirochaetales; Spirochaetaceae.
GCCAGCCCGCUCAGAAACUUAAAGGAAUUGACGGGGCCCGCACAAGCGGUGGAGCAUGUGGUUUAAUUCGAUGGUACGCGAGGAACCUUACCAGGGCUUGACAUACGUUGGAAGCGCAUCGAAAGGUGCGUGCCGCUUGCGGCCGGCGUACAGGUGCUGCAUGGCUGUCGUCAGCUCGUGCUGUGAAGUGUUGGGUUAAGUCCCGCAACGAGCGCAACCCCUGCUGCCUGUUGCCACCACGAGAGGUGGGGACUCAGGCGGGACCGCCGGUGACAAACCGGAGGAAGUGGGGACGACGUCAAGUCAUCAUGGCCCUUAUGUCCUGGGCUACACACGUGCUACAAUGGCCGGUACAGAGCGCAGCGAGGCCGCGAGGCGGAGCGAAUCGCUUAAAGCCGGUCCCAGUACGGAUUGGAGUCUGCAACCCGACUCCAUGAAGUUGGAAUCGCUAGUAAUCGCGCAUCAGCAUGGCGCGGUGAAUACGUUCCCGGGCCUU